Molecule: ribosomal RNA, 703 nt
Filed under: Salinicoccus sp.
Lineage: Bacteria; Bacillati; Bacillota; Bacilli; Caryophanales; Staphylococcaceae
Description: bacterial SSU rRNA
Rfam family: Bacterial small subunit ribosomal RNA
Source: RNAcentral
UUGCUCCUGUGACGCGAGUGGCGGACGGGUGAGUAACACGUAGGCAACCUGCCCAUCAGACCGGGAUAACCACGGGAAACCGUGACUAAUACCGGAUAAUCCUUUUCCUCACAGGAGGGAAAGUUGAAAGGCGGCCUUUUGGCUGCCGCUGAUGGAUGGGCCUGCGGCGCAUUAGCUAGUUGGUGGGGUAAGGGCCCACCAAGGCGACGAUGCGUAGCCGACCUGAGAGGGUGAUCGGCCACACUGGGACUGAGACACGGCCCAGACUCCUACGGGAGGCAGCAGUGGGGAAUCUUCCGCAAUGGACGAAAGUCUGACGGAGCAACGCCGCGUGAGUGAAGAAGGGUUUCGGCUCGUAAAACUCUGUUGUCAGGGAAGAACGUCCCCGUGAGUAACUGCACGGGGAGUGACGGUACCUGACCAGAAAGCCACGGCUAACUACGUGCCAGCAGCCGCGGUAAUACGUAGGUGGCAAGCGUUAUCCGGAAUUAUUGGGCGUAAAGCGCGCGUAGGCGGUCUGUUAAGUCUGAUGUGAAAGCCCCCGGCUCAACCGGGGAGGGUCAUUGGAAACUGGCAGACUUGAGUGCAAAGANGAGAGUGGAAUUCCAUGUGUAGCGGUGAAAUGCGCAGAGAUAUGGAGGAACACCAGUGGCNAACGCNGCUCUCUGGUCUGUAACUGACGCUGANGUGCGAAAGCGUGGGG